CAGUAAACUACUGUAGACCUGAUGUCUUGGAUUAAAACCGUGGCGCGAAUAAGAUCCGCCAUGUGGCCUAUAACCUUAGGAAUCCAACAUCGCCCAACCUUGUCAACAUAACUAAACGUAACCUUAGUAGAUUUAUUUACUAGUGGAAGCAUUAAAUUCUUUUUAAAUAAGCUGCAAAUAUUAUGCAAAUGUCUGAAAAUAAGUUAAUUAUAUUA
This 215-nucleotide unclassified non-coding RNA is filed under the name uncultured Dothideomycetes. RNAcentral's name for it is "sequence contains ITS1". The record is from RNAcentral. Lineage: Eukaryota; Fungi; Ascomycota; Dothideomycetes.